RNAcentral lists this transfer RNA (68 nucleotides) under Marmota monax (woodchuck). Its description in RNAcentral is "tRNA.Ala". The record is from RNAcentral. Lineage: Eukaryota; Metazoa; Chordata; Mammalia; Rodentia; Sciuridae.
GGAUUGUGGCUCAGCGGUAGAUUGCUCGUCUAGCACGUGUGAGGCCCUGGGUUCAAUCCUCAGCACCA